AGCCCUCUGUAUCCGUGCUGAGAUUUUGUCACACACCAGAUCACAAGGGCUGAUGAGACUCGUAAGAUAUGUGCAGCG
RNAcentral lists this microRNA precursor (78 nucleotides) under Schistosoma mansoni. RNAcentral describes it as "mir-3492 microRNA precursor family". It matches the Rfam family "mir-3492 microRNA precursor family". The record is from Rfam by way of RNAcentral. Lineage: Eukaryota; Metazoa; Platyhelminthes; Trematoda; Strigeidida; Schistosomatidae.